UAGAUGAUUUUAGUGCUUGCACUAAAUGAAACUAGAUACAAGCGAGCGGCGGACGGGUGAGUAACACGUGGGUAACCUGCCCAAGAGACUGGGAUAACACCUGGAAACAGAUGCUAAUACCGGAUAACAACACUAGACGCAUGUCUAGAGUUUGAAAGAUGGUUCUGCUAUCACUCUUGGAUGGACCUGCGGUGCAUUAGCUAGUUGGUAAGGUAAUGGCUUACCAAGGCGAUGAUGCAUAGCCGAGUUGAGAGACUGAUCGGCCACAUUGGGACUGAGACACGGCCCAAACUCCUACGGGAGGCAGCAGUAGGGAAUCUUCCACAAUGGACGAAAGUCUGAUGGAGCAACGCCGCGUGAGUGAAGAAGGGUUUCGGCUCGUAAAGCUCUGUUGGUAGUGAAGAAAGAUAGAGGUAGUAACUGGCCUUUAUUUGACGGUAAUUACUUAGAAAGUCACGGCUAACUACGUGCCAGCAGCCGCGGUAAUACGUAGGUGGCAAGCGUUGUCCGGAUUUAUUGGGCGUAAAGCGAGUGCAGGCGGUUCAAUAAGUCUGAUGUGAAAGCCUUCGGCUCAACCGGAGAAUUGCAUCAGAAACUGUUGAACUUGAGUGCAGAAGAGGAGAGUGGAACUCCAUGUGUAGCGGUGGAAUGCGUAGAUAUAUGGAAGAACACCAGUGGCGAAGGCGGCUCUCUGGU
RNAcentral lists this ribosomal RNA (696 nucleotides) under uncultured Bacilli bacterium. RNAcentral describes it as "bacterial SSU rRNA". It matches the Rfam family "Bacterial small subunit ribosomal RNA", at positions 64 to 733 of the family's 1533-position model. The record is from RNAcentral. Lineage: Bacteria; Bacillati; Bacillota; Bacilli.